Molecule: ribosomal RNA, 460 nt
Filed under: uncultured bacterium
Lineage: Bacteria
Description: partial 16S ribosomal RNA
Rfam family: Bacterial small subunit ribosomal RNA
Source: RNAcentral
CCUACGGGAGGCAGCAGUGAGGAAUAUUGGUCAAUGGACGAGAGUCUGAACCAGCCAAGUAGCGUGAAGGAUGACUGCCCUAUGGGUUGUAAACUUCUUUUAUAUGGGAAUAAAACGUUCCACGUGUGGGAUUUUGUAUGUACCAUAUGAAUAAGGAUCGGCUAACUCCGUGCCAGCAGCCGCGGUAAUACGGAGGAUCCGAGCGUUAUCCGGAUUUAUUGGGUUUAAAGGGAGCGUAGGUGGAUUGUUAAGUCAGUUGUGAAAGUUUGCGGCUCAACCGUAAGAUUGCAGUUGAAACUGGCAGUCUUGAGUACAGUAGAGGUGAGCGGAAUUCGUGGUGUAGCGGUGAAAUGCUUAGAUAUCACGAAGAACUCCGAUUGCGAAGGCAGUUCACUGGACUGCAACUGACACUGAGGCUCGAAAGUGUGGGUAUCAAACAGGAUUAGAUACCCUUGUAGUC